UACGUAGGGUGCAAGCGUUAAUCGGAAUUACUGGGCGUAAAGCGUGUGCAGGCGGUUUUGUAAGUCUGAUGUGAAAUCCCCGGGCUCAACCUGGGAAUUGCAUUGGAGACUGCAAGGCUAGAAUCUGGCAGAGGGGGGUAGAAUUCCACGUGUAGCAGUGAAAUGCGUAGAGAUGUGGAGGAACACCGAUGGCGAAGGCAGCCCCCUGGGUCAAGAUUGACGCUCAUGCACGAAAGCGUGGGGAGCAAACAGG
RNAcentral lists this ribosomal RNA (253 nucleotides) under uncultured bacterium. Its description in RNAcentral is "partial 16S ribosomal RNA". It matches the Rfam family "Bacterial small subunit ribosomal RNA", at positions 524 to 776 of the family's 1533-position model. The record is from RNAcentral.